ACGGCCCACCGAGGCGACGAUGCGUAGGGGUUCUGAGAGGAAGGUCCCCCACACUGGUACUGAGACACGGACCAGACUCCUACGGGAGGCAGCAGUGAGGAAUAUUGGUCAAUGGCCGGGAGGCUGAACCAGCCAAGUCGCGUGAGGGAAGACGGCCCUACGGGUUGUAAACCUCUUUUGUCAGGGAGCAAGAGGCGGGUCGAGACCUGCUGUGAGAGUACCUGAAGAAAAAGCAUCGGCUAACUCCGUGCCAGCAGCCGCGGUAAUACGGAGGAUGCGAGCGUUAUCCGGAUUUAUUGGGUUUAAAGGGUGCGCAGGCGGAGGCACAAGUCAGCGGUAAAAUCGCGGGGCUCAACCCCGCUCCGCCGUUGAAACUGUGUCCCUUGAGUGCGCGAAGGGUAGGCGGAAUGCGUGGUGUAGCGGUGAAAUGCAUGGAUAUCACGCAGAACUCCGAUCGCGAAGGCAGCCUACCGGCGCGCAACUGACGCUCAUGCACGAAAGCGUGGGUAUCGAACAGGAUUAGAUACCCUGGUAGUCCACGCAGUAAACGAUGAAUGCUAUCUGUCCGGCCGGAAUGACGGCUGG
Molecule: ribosomal RNA, 585 nt
Filed under: uncultured bacterium
Lineage: Bacteria
Description: bacterial SSU rRNA
Rfam family: Bacterial small subunit ribosomal RNA
Source: RNAcentral